This 2943-nucleotide ribosomal RNA is filed under the name Acinetobacter baumannii. RNAcentral's name for it is "bacterial LSU rRNA". It matches the Rfam family "Bacterial large subunit ribosomal RNA". The record is from RNAcentral. Lineage: Bacteria; Pseudomonadati; Pseudomonadota; Gammaproteobacteria; Moraxellales; Moraxellaceae.
GUUGUAUAGUCAAGUAAUUAAGUGCAUGUGGUGGAUGCCUUGGCAGUCAGAGGCGAUGAAAGACGUGAUAGCCUGCGAAAAGCUCCGGGGAGGCGGCAAAUAUCCUUUGAUCCGGAGAUGUCUGAAUGGGGGAACCCACCUACUUUAAGGUAGGUAUUGCAACAUGAAUACAUAGUGUUGCAAGGCGAACGAGGGGAAGUGAAACAUCUCAGUACCCUUAGGAAAAGAAAUCAAUUGAGAUUCCCUCAGUAGCGGCGAGCGAACGGGGAUCAGCCCAUUAAGUUAUGUGUGUUUUAGUGGAACGCUCUGGGAAGUGCGAACGUAGAGGGUGAUAUUCCCGUACACGAAAGGGCACACAUAAUGAUGACGAGUAGGGCGAGGCACGUGAAACCUUGUCUGAAUAUGGGGGGACCAUCCUCCAAGGCUAAAUACUCCUGACUGACCGAUAGUGAACCAGUACCGUGAGGGAAAGGCGAAAAGAACCCCUGUGAGGGGAGUGAAAUAGAUCCUGAAACCGCAUGCAUACAAGCAGUGGGAGCACCUUCGUGGUGUGACUGCGUACCUUUUGUAUAAUGGGUCAGCGACUUAUAUUCAGUAGCAAGGUUAACCGUAUAGGGGAGCCGUAGAGAAAUCGAGUCUUAAUAGGGCGUUUAGUUGCUGGGUAUAGACCCGAAACCAGGCGAUCUAUCCAUGAGCAGGUUGAAGGUUGGGUAACACUAACUGGAGGACCGAACCCACUGUCGUUGAAAAGCCAGGGGAUGACUUGUGGAUAGGGGUGAAAGGCUAAUCAAGCCUGGUGAUAGCUGGUUCUCCCCGAAAGCUAUUUAGGUAGCGCCUCGGACGAAUACCAUAGGGGGUAGAGCACUGUUUCGGCUAGGGGGUCAUCCCGACUUACCAAACCGAUGCAAACUCCGAAUACCUAUGAGUACUAUCCGGGAGACAGACUGCGGGUGCUAACGUCCGUAGUCAAGAGGAAAACAAUCCAGACCGCCAGCUAAGGCCCCAAAAUCAUAGUUAAGUGGGAAACGAUGUGGGAAGGCAUAGACAGCUAGGAGGUUGGCUUANNNNNNNNNNNNNNNNNGAAGCAGCCACCCUUUAAAGAAAGCGUAAUAGCUCACUAGUCGAGUCGGCCUGCGCGGAAGAUGUAACGGGGCUAAAACUAUGUGCCGAAGCUGCGGAUGUAUACUUUGUAUACGUGGUAGGGGAGCGUUCUGUAAGCCGAUGAAGGUGUGUUGAGAAGCNNNNNNNNAUGCUGGAGGUAUCAGAAGUGCGAAUGCUGACGUGAGUAACGACAAAACGGGUGAAAAACCCGUUCGCCGAAAGACCAAGGGUUCCAGUCCAACGUUAAUCGGGGCUGGGUGAGUCGACCCCUAAGGCGAGGCCGAAAGGCGUAGUCGAUGGGAAAAUGGUUAAUAUUCCAUUACUUCUGUGUAAUGCGAUGAGAGGACGGAGAAGGCUAAAUCAGCCUGGCGUUGGUUGUCCAGGUGAAAGGAUGUAGGCAUGUAUCUUAGGCAAAUCCGGGGUACUCUAUGCUGAGAUCUGAUAGCAAGCUGUACUUGUACAGCGAAGUGGUUGAUGCCAUGCUUCCAGGAAAAGUCUCUAAGCUUCAGUUACACAGGAAUCGUACCCGAAACCGACACAGGUGGUCAGGUCGAGUAGACCAAGGCGCUUGAGAGAACUCUGCUGAAGGAACUAGGCAAAAUGGUACCGUAACUUCGGGAGAAGGUACGCUGUUGUUGGUGAUGGAACUCGCUUCCUGAGCUGACGACAGCCGCAGAAACCAGGCCGCUGCAACUGUUUAUUAAAAACAUAGCACUCUGCAAACACGAAAGUGGACGUAUAGGGUGUGAUGCCUGCCCGGUGCUGGAAGGUUAAUUGAUGGGGUUAGCGUAAGCGAAGCUCUUGAUCGAAGCCCCAGUAAACGGCGGCCGUAACUAUAACGGUCCUAAGGUAGCGAAAUUCCUUGUCGGGUAAGUUCCGACCUGCACGAAUGGCAUAAUGAUGGCGGCGCUGUCUCCAGCAGAGGCUCAGUGAAAUCGAAAUCGCUGUGAAGAUGCAGUGUACCCGCGGCUAGACGGAAAGACCCCGUGAACCUUUACUGCAGCUUGACACUGAACUUUGACCUUACUUGUGUAGGAUAGGUGGGAGGCUUUGAAGCUGGAACGCUAGUUCCAGUGGAGCCGUCCUUGAAAUACCACCCUGGUAAUGUUGAGGUUCUAACUCUGUCCCGUGAUCCGGGACGAGGACCGUGUCUGGUGGGUAGUUUGACUGGGGCGGUCUCCUCCUAAAGAGUAACGGAGGAGUACGAAGGUGCGCUCAGCGUGGUCGGAAAUCACGCGUAGAGUAUAAAGGCAAAAGCGCGCUUAACUGCGAGACCCACAAGUCGAGCAGGUACGAAAGUAGGUCUUAGUGAUCCGGUGGUUCUGUAUGGAAGGGCCAUCGCUCAACGGAUAAAAGGUACUCUGGGGAUAACAGGCUGAUACCGCCCAAGAGUUCAUAUCGACGGCGGUGUUUGGCACCUCGAUGUCGGCUCAUCUCAUCCUGGGGCUGAAGCAGGUCCCAAGGGUAUGGCUGUUCGCCAUUUAAAGAGGUACGCGAGCUGGGUUUAGAACGUCGUGAGACAGUUCGGUCCCUAUCUACCGUGGGCGCUGGAAAUUUGAGAGGAUCUGCUCCUAGUACGAGAGGACCAGAGUGGACGAACCUCUGGUGUACCGGUUGUGACGCCAGUCGCAUCGCCGGGUAGCUAUGUUCGGAAGGGAUAACCGCUGAAAGCAUCUAAGCGGGAAGCCUACCUCAAGAUAAGAUUUCCCUAGGACUUUAUGUCCUCUAAAGAGCCGUUCGAGACUAGGACGUUGAUAGGUUGGAUGUGGAAGCAUAGUGAUAUGUGAAGCUGACCAAUACUAAUUGCUCGUGAGGCUUGACUAUACAACACCCAAGCAGUUG